Molecule: ribosomal RNA, 443 nt
Filed under: uncultured bacterium
Lineage: Bacteria
Description: partial 16S ribosomal RNA
Rfam family: Bacterial small subunit ribosomal RNA
Source: RNAcentral
CCUACGGGAGGCUGCAGUGGGGAAUAUUGGGCAAUGGAGGCAACUCUGACCCAGCAACGCCGCGUGAAUGAUGAAGGUCUUCGGAUUGUAAAGUUCUGUGAUGGGGGAUGAACACAAUGACGGUACCCCAAUAGCAAGCCACGGCUAACUACGUGCCAGCAGCCGCGGUAAUACGUAGGUGGCAAGCGUUAUCCGGAAUGACUGGGCGUAAAGGGUGCGUAGGUGGUUUAGUAAGUUGGCGGUGUAAUUCCGGGGCGCAACCUCGGCGCUACCGCCAAAACUAUUAGACUAGAGUGCAGGGGGGGGUAGGGGAAUUCCGAGUGUAGCGGUGGAAUGGGUAGAUAUUAGGAGGAACAUCAGGGGGGAAGGCGAGUUACUGGACUGUAACUGACACUGAGGCACGAAAGCGGGGGGAGCAAACAGGAUUAGAUACCCGGGUAGUC